AAGGACCCUAAGAAGACGGACAGAAGGGGGGACAAGAGGCCACAGGAAGCUAACUCGGAGGGAUGCAAAAAGAUAAUGACAGAAAAGAAGUCCCUAGGUGGUGAGAAGAAGGUUGAUGGUGCUGGAACUAACCUAUAUCGCUCUGAGGGACCUGAGGGACGAAAACAGGAGACGCCUACGACUCGAGAAGAUGCCCACUGAAACAGGGCUCUCGAAUAGAAGGCAAACGCUGGUAAGAACUCAAGAACGA
Molecule: long non-coding RNA, 250 nt
Filed under: Elaeis guineensis (African oil palm)
Lineage: Eukaryota; Viridiplantae; Streptophyta; Magnoliopsida; Arecales; Arecaceae
Description: long non-coding RNA (EGUI_LNC075571)
Source: RNAcentral